Molecule: ribosomal RNA, 448 nt
Filed under: uncultured bacterium
Lineage: Bacteria
Description: partial 16S ribosomal RNA
Rfam family: Bacterial small subunit ribosomal RNA
Source: RNAcentral
GCCAGACUCCUACGGGAGGCAGCAGUGGGGGAUAUUGCACAAUGGGGGAAACCCUGAUGCAGCGACGCCGCGUGUGGGAAGACGGUCUUCUGGAUUGUAAACCACUGUCCCCAGGGACGAAAAUGACGGUACCUGGGGAGGAAGCUCCGGCUAACUACGUGCCAGCAGCCGCGGUAAUACGUAGGGAGCGAGCGUUAUCCGGAAUUAUUGGGUGUAAAGGGUGCGUAGACGGGAAAACAAGUUAGUUGUGAAAUCCCUCGGCUUAACUGAGGAACUGCAACUAAAACUAUUUUUCUUGAGUGCAGGAGAGGUAAGUGGAAUUCCUAGUGUAGCGGUGAAAUGCGUAGAUAUUAGGAGGAACACCAGUGGCGAAGGCGACUUACUGGACUGUAACUGACGUUGAGGCACGAAAGUGUGGGGAGCAAACAGGAUUAGAUACCCCUGUAUG